UACGUAGGAGGCAAGCGUUGUCCGGAAUUACUGGGCGUAAAGAGCGCGUAGGCGGCACUGUACGACCGCUGUGAAAGCCCCCGGCUCAACUGGGGAGGGUCAGUGGUAACGGCAGAGCUGUGAGUGCAGGAGAGGGAAGUGGAACUCCGGGAGUAGCGGUGAAAUGCGUAGAGACCCGGAGGAACACCAGUGGCGAAGGCGGCUUCCUGGUCUGCGACUGACGCUGUGGCGCGAAAGCUAGGGGAGCGAACGGG
Molecule: ribosomal RNA, 254 nt
Filed under: uncultured bacterium
Lineage: Bacteria
Description: partial 16S ribosomal RNA
Rfam family: Bacterial small subunit ribosomal RNA
Source: RNAcentral